UACGAAGGGGGCGAGCGUUGUUCGGAAUUACUGGGCGUAAAGGGUGCGUAGGCGGCGCGGUAAGUCGGGUGUGAAAUCUCGGAGCUUAACUCCGAAACUGCAUUCGAUACUGCCGUGCUUGAGGACUGGAGAGGAGACUGGAAUUUACGGUGUAGCGGUGAAAUGCGUAGAUAUCGUAAGGAAGACCAGUGGCGAAGGCGGGUCUCUGGACAGUUCCUGACGCUGAGGCACGAAGGUCAGGGGAGCAAACGGG
RNAcentral lists this ribosomal RNA (253 nucleotides) under uncultured bacterium. Its description in RNAcentral is "partial 16S ribosomal RNA". It matches the Rfam family "Bacterial small subunit ribosomal RNA", at positions 524 to 776 of the family's 1533-position model. The record is from RNAcentral.